This is a non-coding RNA of Cricetulus griseus (Chinese hamster), 707 nucleotides long. The record is from Rfam. NCBI's taxonomy places the organism in Eukaryota, Metazoa, Chordata, Mammalia, Rodentia, Cricetidae.
UGAACAUACUGUCUUUGGUCUGAUCUAUGAUGACCCUAUCCCGAACCUGAAUUCCUGUUGAAAUACAAAAUUACGGAUCUGGCUUCUGAGACGGACCAUUAAAAAGGCAUUGUUGUGGGGUUUUUUGUUUUCAUUUUUGUGUUGGUAGUUUUGUAAUCCCUGUGUUUGUUUUCUAGGGCCAGUGACACAAGUGAGAAUUGGAUGUUAUGACCGUCCAGAAAAGACAAGAUGAGAAAGUGCAGUAUUGACUGUCUUCAAACGCACCUGUCCUUGCUCAAGUGCUGGGAUUGUGUGCCAACGGCUAUGAUAGAUAUGAAUAGAGCACGAGAUAAUGUGCUUACAGAAAGUUGGUUGAAUUGAAUGCAAUUAAUGUUUGGAGGCACUUAGUCUUCUAGUGUUUGAAUGUGGAUGGAAUUAAAGCUGGGUUUGUAGUGAGCCAUUAGGAUUAUGGCAAAUGUCUAGUGUACAGAAUUCAGUGUAGGCCGGGAGUUGAGACUGGUGUGUGUUUAGUGGAUUAUCUGAUCAGCACAUGUGUGACAGUGUUGAUCACAAGUCAUUGCCAGCUCUGUUCAUUUUCUUCCCUGGUCUAACUCAAUAAUUGCCAUCAUGAAAAUUCUGGGUGACUUUUGUGACUAAAGUCCCAUUGUAAGCCACAUUCUUUGUCCAGCAGUGCUCACUGACUGCUGAAAUAAAUGUUCAUUUGCAAC